AUUGAACGCUGGCGGCAUGCUUUACACAUGCAAGUCGAACGGCAGCACGGGGGUAACCCUGGUGGCGAGUGGCGAACGGGUGAGUAAUGCAUCGGAACAUAUCUUAAAGUGGGGAAUAACGCAUCGAAAGGUGUGCUAAUACUCCAUAUACUCUAAGGAGGAAAGCGGGGGAUCGAAAGACCUCGUGCUUUAAGGGUGGCCGAUGUCUGAUUAGCUAGUUGGUGGGGUAAAGGCUUACCAAGGCGACGAUCAGUAGCUGGUCUGAGAGGACGAUCAGCCACACUGGGACUGAGACACGGCCCAGACUCCUACGGGAGGCAGCAGUGGGGAAUUUUGGACAAUGGGCGAAAGCCUGAUCCAGCCAUGCCGCGUGAGUGAAGAAGGCCUCGG
Molecule: ribosomal RNA, 390 nt
Filed under: uncultured bacterium
Lineage: Bacteria
Description: bacterial SSU rRNA
Rfam family: Bacterial small subunit ribosomal RNA
Source: RNAcentral